GGCUCAGGAUGAACGCUAGCUACAGGCUUAACACAUGCAAGUCGAGGGGCAGCACGGAGAUAGCUUGCUAUCUUGGGUGGCGACGGCGCACGGGUGAGUAACGCGUAUCCAACCUGCCCUAUUACUCAGGGAUAGCCUUGCGAAAGUAAGAUUAAUACCUGAUGUUGUUAAAAACCCGCAUGAGUUUUUAACCAAAGAUUUAUUGGUAAUGGAUGGGGAUGCGUGACAUUAGGUAGUUGGUGAGGUAACGGCUCACCAAGCCUACGAUGUCUAGGGGUUCUGAGAGGAAGGUCCCCCACACUGGAACUGAGACACGGUCCAGACUCCUACGGGAGGCAGCAGUGAGGAAUAUUGGUCAAUGGACGAGAGUCUGAACCAGCCAAGUAGCGUGCAGGAUGACGGCCCUCUGGGUUGUAAACUGCUUUUAGUUGGGAAUAAAAAGAGGGACGUGUCCCUAAUUGUAUGUACCAUCAGAAAAAGGACCGGCUAAUUCCGUG
This 497-nucleotide ribosomal RNA is filed under the name uncultured bacterium. Its description in RNAcentral is "bacterial SSU rRNA". It matches the Rfam family "Bacterial small subunit ribosomal RNA", at positions 21 to 507 of the family's 1533-position model. The record is from RNAcentral.